RNAcentral lists this ribosomal RNA (468 nucleotides) under uncultured bacterium. RNAcentral describes it as "partial 16S ribosomal RNA". It matches the Rfam family "Bacterial small subunit ribosomal RNA", at positions 28 to 507 of the family's 1533-position model. The record is from RNAcentral.
GACGAACGCUGGCGGCGUGCUUAACACAUGCAAGUCGAACGGAAAGGCCCUGCUUUUGUGGGGUGCUCGAGUGGCGAACGGGUGAGUAACACGUGAGUAACCUGCCCUUGACUUUGGGAUAACUUCAGGAAACUGGGGCUAAUACCGGAUAGGAGCUCCUGCUGCAUGGUGGGGGUUGGAAAGUUUCGGCGGUUGGGGAUGGACUCGCGGCUUAUCAGCUUGUUGGUGGGGUAGUGGCUUACCAAGGCGUUGACGGGUAGCCGGCCUGAGAGGGUGACCGGCCACAUUGGGACUGAGAUACGGCCCAGACUCCUACGGGAGGCAGCAGUGGGGAAGAUUGCACAAUGGGCGGAAGCCUGAUGCAGCAACGCCGCGUGCGGGAUGACGGCCUUCGGGUUGUAAACCGCUUUCGCCUGUGACGAAGCGUGAGUGACGGUAAUGGGUAAAGAAGCACCGGCUAACUACGUG